GACGAACGCUGGCGGCGUGCCUAACACAUGCAAGUCGAGCGAAUGAGGUUCCUUCGGGACUGGAUUUAGCGGCGGACGGGUGAGUAACACGUGGGCAACCUGCCUCAUAGAGGGGAAUAGCCUCCCGAAAGGGAGAUUAAUACCGCAUAAGAUUGUAGUACCGCAUGAUACAGCAAUUAAAGGAGCAAUCCGCUAUGAGAUGGGCCCGCGGCGCAUUAGCUAGUUGGUGAGGUAAUGGCUCACCAAGGCGACGAUGCGUAGCCGACCUGAGAGGGUGAUCGGCCACAUUGGGACUGAGACACGGCCCAGACUCCUACGGGAGGCAGCAGUGGGGAAUAUUGCACAAUGGGGGAAACCCUGAUGCAGCAACGCCGCGUGAGUGAUGACGGCCUUCGGGUUGUAAAGCUCUGUCUUCAGGGACGAUAAUGACGGUACCUGAGGAGGAAGCCACGGCUAACUACGUG
This 464-nucleotide ribosomal RNA is filed under the name uncultured bacterium. Its description in RNAcentral is "partial 16S ribosomal RNA". It matches the Rfam family "Bacterial small subunit ribosomal RNA", at positions 28 to 507 of the family's 1533-position model. The record is from RNAcentral.